CAAAAGUCGUAACAAGGUCUCCGUUGGUGAACCAGCGUAGGGAUCAUUA
This 49-nucleotide ribosomal RNA is filed under the name Paecilomyces sp. G97013. RNAcentral describes it as "partial 18S ribosomal RNA". It matches the Rfam family "Eukaryotic small subunit ribosomal RNA", at positions 1783 to 1831 of the family's 1831-position model. The record is from RNAcentral. Lineage: Eukaryota; Fungi; Ascomycota; Eurotiomycetes; Eurotiales; Thermoascaceae.